UACGAAGGGUGCAAGCGUUGUUCGGAAUCAUUGGGCGUAAAGCGCGCGCAGGCGGUUCAGCAAGUCAGAUGUGAAAUCUCGGAGCUCAACUUCGAAACUGCGUCUGAAACUGCUAGUCUAGAAUGUCGGAGGGGGCAGGGGAAUUUCACGUGUAGGGGUAAAAUCCGUAGAGAUGUGAAGGAACACCGGAGGCGAAGGCGCCUGCCUGGACGACUAUUGACGCUGAGGAGCGAAAGCGUGGGGAGCGAACAGG
Molecule: ribosomal RNA, 253 nt
Filed under: uncultured bacterium
Lineage: Bacteria
Description: partial 16S ribosomal RNA
Rfam family: Bacterial small subunit ribosomal RNA
Source: RNAcentral